GGGGGGACGGAGAAGGCUAUGUUGGCCGGGCGACGGUUGUCCCGGUUUAAGCGUGUAGGUGUGUGUUCCAGGUAAAUCCGGUUCACUUUAACACUGAGGCGUGACGACGAGGCACUACGGUGCUGAAGCAACAAAUGCCCUGCUUCCAGGAAAAGCCUCUAAGCAUCAGGUAACAUCAAAUCGUACCCCAAACCGACACAGGUGGUCAGGUAGAGAAUACCAAGGCGCUUGAGAGAACUCGGGUGAAGGAACUAGGCAAAAUGGUGCCGUAACUUCGGGAGAAGGCACGCUGACACGUAGGUGAAGUGAUUUACUCAUGGAGCUGAAGUCAGUCGAAGAUACCAGCUGGCUGCAACUGUUUAUUAAAAACACAGCACUGUGCAAACACGAAAGUGGACGUAUACGGUGUGACGCCUGCCCGGUGCCGGAAGGUUAAUUGAUGGGGUCAGCGCAAGCGAAGCUCCUGAUCGAAGCCCCGGUAAACGGCGGCCGUAACUAUAACGGUCCUAAGGUAGCGAAAUUCCUUGUCGGGUAAGUUCCGACCUGCACGAAUGGCGUAAUGAUGGCCAGGCUGUCUCCACCCGAGACUCAGUGAAAUUGAACUCGCUGUGAAGAUGCAGUGUACCCGCGGCAAGACGGAAAGACCCCGUGAACCUUUACUAUAGCUUGACACUGAACAUUGAGCCUUGAUGUGUAGGAUAGGUGGGAGGCUUUGAAGUGUGGACGCCAGUCUGCAUGGAGCCGACCUUGAAAUACCACCCUUUAAUGUUUGAUGUUCUAACGUGGACCCGUUACCCGGGUUGCGGACAGUGUCUGGUGGGUAGUUUGACUGGGGCGGUCUCCUCCUAAAGAGUAACGGAGGAGCACGAAGGUUGGCUAAUCCUGGUCGGACAUCAGGAGGUUAGUGCAAUGGCAUAAGCCAGCUUGACUGCGAGCGUGACGGCGCGAGCAGGUGCGAAAGCAGGUCAUAGUGAUCCGGUGGUUCUGAAUGGAAGGGCCAUCGCUCAACGGAUAAAAGGUACUCCGGGGAUAACAGGCUGAUACCGCCCAAGAGUUCAUAUCGACGGCGGUGUUUGGCACCUCGAUGUCGGCUCAUCACAUCCUGGGGCUGAAGUAGGUCCCAAGGGUAUGGCUGUUCGCCAUUUAAAGUGGUACGCGAGCUGGGUUUAGAACGUCGUGAGACAGUUCGGUCCCUAUCUGCCGUGGGCGCUGGAGAACUGAGGGGGGCUGCUCCUAGUACGAGAGGACCGGAGUGGACGCAUCACUGGUGUUCGGGUUGUCAUGCCAAUGGCACUGCCCGGUAGCUAAAUGCGGAAGAGAUAAGUGCUGAAAGCAUCUAAGCACGAAACUUGCCCCGAGAUGAGUUCUCCCUGAGACUUAGAGUCUCCUGAAGGAACGUUGAAGACGACGACGUUGAUAGGCCGGGUGUGUAAGCGCAGCGAUGCGUUGAGCUAACCGGUACUAAUGAACCGUGAGGCUUAACCUUAC
This 1488-nucleotide ribosomal RNA is filed under the name Salmonella enterica subsp. enterica serovar Heidelberg str. SARA31. Its description in RNAcentral is "bacterial LSU rRNA". It matches the Rfam family "Bacterial large subunit ribosomal RNA", at positions 1466 to 2925 of the family's 2925-position model. Lineage: Bacteria; Pseudomonadati; Pseudomonadota; Gammaproteobacteria; Enterobacterales; Enterobacteriaceae. The record is from RNAcentral.